This is a long non-coding RNA of Amaranthus tricolor (Joseph's coat), 1494 nucleotides long. RefSeq lists it as uncharacterized. The transcript has 6 exons. Lineage: Eukaryota; Viridiplantae; Streptophyta; Magnoliopsida; Caryophyllales; Amaranthaceae. The record is from RefSeq and is a predicted model, not a curated record.
AAAAUUUGUCACGCCAUUCUUCCUUUUGUUAUUCCUAUUUCUCCAUGCUUCUGUCCUUAUUCUCACUCUUCUUCUUGCUUCAUCUUUCUUUUGAUUCUACAUUUCAGUGUUUCACCUUUUCCUCCCUCUUCCUCUUAUCUUGUGACAUUCAUUCGCUGAUGGCGAAAGAAUUAGUGCCGGUGAUGCUGAUGAAGACGAAGACGAAGACGAAGGAAAUGAAAUGGUUCCCCGAUCUGGUUCUGGUUGAGAAAUGAAUUCUGAUUCAGAUGAGUCUGAUCUGGAUAUUGAGAGGAAAUCAAAAGCCAUUGAUGCAGAACAAGCUAGGCAAGAAAAGGAAGCAAGGGAGGAGUUGCAACUUAAUAUACUGGAAGAAUUAGAUGAAUUUAGGCUGCCAACCAAGGAGUUGUUGUGCUCUUUCAUUUGCUGCUGGUCUGCAUCUGCUGUAUGGGCUGCUUACUGUGUGAUCGUGUGUUUUCUGCAAAUUUGUGCCUCCUACUCCCUUCUUCCUGCCUGCUACUUUUCAGAUAUGGUGUCUUCUCAAUCCAUUCAGUAUUUGGCUCUUAUUCGAGCUCUUGAUUCACACUCACUGACAUCCCAAAUUAACUAGAGAAGUAUCUGCUUGUAAAUAAGUGUGAAGCUGUAUCGUCCGCCCUCUAAGGCAGAGUACAGUUAAGGUCAAAUUUGAAGAUUUUGGUAUUGUUUUAGAGCCUAAGCAGGAAAUUGUUCGAGGGAGAAGCUUGAUUCAUCAUCAUUUCUUAAUUAACGGUUAGCUCUAACAUUCGAUGCUGUAGAUAGCACAAGUUCUAUCAAUCUCACACCCUUCAAUGACCAUGUGGCAAAGUUGUUUGGAAAAAAAUUGAUGCUUUAUAUGCUCCUACAACUUAUGAGGAGAUUACUUCGAAAUAGCGUACUCAUUCAAAGAUAAACCAAUAUGCAUUGAAGUAGGGCUGACAAUUGCGCUAUCAUAAAACGGAGUCCAAAAGUGGGUGAUAAAAUCGCUUAUAGUCGAGCUGCUUGCUUCUCAAGAUAUGCAGCCACAAAUAGGACAACUCCAAUCCAACAUUUCGUCGAAGGACAUAAAUUGAAAUGGUACAUGUGCGCUCACUUCUCCACUGCCUCCAAAGUCAGAGAAUUCGCAAGUGUUUUUGACCCCUUCUUUUGCUAUCGAUCAAGUUGCCUUCCUGCCGUCUAUUUCUGUUCCAUCAUUGAAUACGUCAUUGUCUUUAGCAAGUCAGCCAGCAUCAAGUGCAGUAGAGUGUGAGCUGCAAGUUUGUCGUUGUUUAGAUUUUGGUCAGAUGGCGUGUAGUUCUAAUCUAAAUGACCCACCUGCUGACGUUCUACCCUAAUUGUUUUUGGGCUUUUUAUGUUAUGCACAACAACUUUUGAACACUCUUCAUGAUGUGCAUUGAAAUUUUUGUAGUCUUAUCAUGGAUGCUUAAAACUUGUUUACAUGGGCUGCUUUUUGGAAAUAUUAAAUUAAAGUUGCAGCUGUUA